CCCCAACACACAAUGUCUAUUGCCUGGCGAGCCCAAAAGCCUAACAGUUCUAUUACAGUUUGUUUUCCAGUAAAAACAAAACCUACCUCAUUGGCUGUGCUUCAGUCAGAAGGGAGUCGUGUUAUAAAUAUCCUGAGUCAGAUCUUCUGGAAACACAUCCAAGGUCUCAGGCUCAGACUUCUGGGUCCGAGACCCGUUUUGAGAAAAUCUGCUUCUCUGGCCUUUCAGCAGAUUUGAAUCUGGUGGGUGCCAGUCACUCUCUGCACCACGGAAGUCGUCCAGAUAGCCACCUUAGCCUCUUCCCUGGCUUCUAAGAUGGUGGCAUCCAAGGUGAUGGCAGUGAGCCUGGCCCAAGCCACCUCGGCAGCCUGUGGCAGUGCCCUCGCCGGACUUCCGUCCGCAGGUGAGUGUUCAGGGAGGAGCUGGUGUGGAGCGAGGAGGUAGAUGGGGAGGGACAGAGUCCAUUUCUGGCUUUACCUCCUUUAGGUUUUUACCUAUGUGUCCAACCAGGCUUUCAUAGCAGUUUGAGACCCCUGUGGGGUCUCAGAUCCAGAGCAUUGAUUUUAACUAAAUUCUUCAGUUUGGGCCUGUUUUCUUCAUUAGUUUCUGGGAGCUCUGUCUCCCAUCUUAGCUAUUUAUUCUUGCUGCUUAUUUUCCCUUUAGCCUCUGUUAUGUAACAAAAACUCAACCGAGUACAUUUUAACAGAAUUUUUAAAAGUCUAUUUAUUUAUUUUGAGAGAGAGAGAGAGCAUGUGCGUGCGCGCGCGCACACACACGUAUGUGGGGGAGGGGCAGAGAGAGAGAAUCCCAAGCAGGCCCUUGCUGUCAGCACAGAUCCCGACUUGGGCUCAAUCUCACAAACUCCUGAGAUGAUGACCUGAGCUGAAAUCAAGGAUCCAACACUUAACUGCUUGACCACUGAGCCCCUCAGGCGCCCUCAACUGAGUACAUUUUAAAGGUCUAGUUGGCUUUAUUAUGAGUCAGUUCAUGAAUCUGGCAACAUCCCAACUAGCAGGUCCAUGGAACACGAAAAGUUCUCAAAGGCAGAGAGAGAGAGAGCAGAAAAAAAAUUAUUAGCAGAGAGUCCAUUGUUUUAGGCAAGGUCACCCUCCUAAGGGGAAGGGAAGGGGUCCAUCAGUAAAUUUCCUAGUGCUGUCUGUGAAAUUCCCAUGUUGACCGGCUAAGGGUUAUAUUCCUGGGGCACUGAAACUGCCUUCAGGUUAGGUGGGAAGUCUUGGUUUACACUUGGGGCUUUAACCUAAGUGAUGCCAUUUUGGGCCUGUGGUUUUCUUUUUAGCCCCCCUCCCCUGCCAAUAACUCCCCCCCCCCCAAAGUCAACCUUUCUUAUAUGCUUGAUGUGUUUCCGGUUUUCAUACCGUAUUUAUUUUUGCAAAUGGGUGUUGGCUUUUGUUUGCGAGUUUAAUUUAUAUGCAGAAUAGUGCAUUGCCGACCUUAUUCUAUUGCUUUUUCUGCACUGAGAACCACGUUUUUGAAAUUGUCAGUGUCAGUAGGUGAGUGUCUAAUACUUGCUUCCAGUUCUUGCAAAGUGCUCCUGUGUGCCACUUACCUUUCUGUCUCCUGGGGGGGACACCUGGGGCCCUCCCACCUCCCCCAGCACACACAGCAGCUCAGGAUGGAAUGGGGACGACCGGGCCCCUGACCACUGCCGACCUCUGACCUCUGACACUGUGCAUUCACCCUCUGUUCUUCCGCGGGAGUCACCCUGUCAUCCACAGCUGCCCUGAGCCAGGCCACAGCUUCCCUGGGAUCUCUGCUGGGGACACUGAGUGGCUCCUCCCUGGUGGAAUCCCCUGCUGCGGCCUUGACCAUCUCCCCACUUGGAGGUAACUGACUCUGGAGAACAAACCCCUCUUUUAGGGCCCCCACUCAGUGCUUGGAAGUGUGACAAGGAAUAGGGCCUGGGCCACAGCCAGCAGCCCUCCCUGUUCGCUAGAAACAUAAGGACUCCUGAGCUUGUGAUAAGCAAUCCAUAAAAUAAUAAGAAAGCUAGAUGUUAUCAGACACUGUGCCCUCCUACUCUCUAUGCUUAGCACUUAACAUUUACCAAUUGGUUUAAUUAUCAUAACAAUCACAGAGGAAGACUGUGGGGAUAACAAUCACAGAGGAAGACUGUGGGGGACCGGGCCGGUGCCAGGCUGAGACCGGGUCAAGCAGCGUUCCCUGUUGACUCAAGCCAACCCGGUAGUUCCCCCUCCCAUUCCCCCACUUUCAAGGGCAUACGAAAGCCUUGUCAAGGCUGAGAAAGUUAACUCCUGAAGACUGUGGUCUGCAGGUGUUGGCAGUAAUGCUACCUCCCUUUUUCUACCCCGAGUCAGAUAGAAACAAACAUGGGAAUUGUGUUUUGCUAGCAAUCUUAUCAACAAGGUCUUGUGACCCAUCUAGAAAGUGCACAAGAAACACAGAACUAAAUGUUUUGGUGGGCAGCAAUUAUGUGAAACCUGUUUAUUCUUAGAAUGACCUAACCUAUAAGAGUCUGGUUAUAAAAGAUUGUGUACAGCAACAAUAAAGCCGUCACUUGGGCCAUCAGCCCAGGGGACCCUCCUGUUCCCAAACUUUCUCUUCUCUCUUUUUUUCUUGCAUUCCCCUACCCUCAGGACCCUGACCUCGGUGUUUGUCGCGCCGGCCACGACAGAAGACAACACUGACCCUCAUGUAUGAAUGAAGGAACGUUGGCCAAAAGCCCUGGACCAGGAGGUGGGGUUGCUCUCAAGCCUGGGAUAGGAAGUAGAAUCAAAAUGC
Long non-coding RNA from Lynx canadensis (Canada lynx), 2760 nucleotides. The record is from Ensembl. Lineage: Eukaryota; Metazoa; Chordata; Mammalia; Carnivora; Felidae.